Molecule: ribosomal RNA, 1896 nt
Filed under: Triticum aestivum (bread wheat)
Lineage: Eukaryota; Viridiplantae; Streptophyta; Magnoliopsida; Poales; Poaceae
Description: partial small subunit ribosomal RNA
Source: RNAcentral
AGCUCGGGGUGCGUGUGCGCGGCGGCGGCAGUAGAGGGAAGCGUCCGUGCAGAGAAGGAAGUGAGCUAAAGGGACUAGGGGAAGAGCGUGUAACGGAGGAGGGUAAGGAAGGGGGGAAUGAGCGUGCCUCCACCGACGUCCUCUACGCACCGUCUCCUCCAAGCACGUCCCCCACUACCACCACCCUCACCCCUCAUUCUUUCUCGUACCUCCGCCGCCGCCGAUCCUUCUCGCACACGCACUGGUCGCGUCCUCCGAAGUAGCGGAGCACCGAGUAGUUCGAGGAGGAGAGGUUCCCGGUGAUUUACCAGGCGCCUAGGCAGGUAGGGUCGGGGAGCUUCUAGGUUGGAGUCGAGUACGAGCGCGACGAGGGUGGGGUGCUGCGGCAGACGCAGCUUGACUUUCGGGUGCCUCCUGCCCCUGCUCCAGUCCCACCUCUACACCUAGUAAAAGAAACCUAGGGGUUGACUUCUCAAACUUCCUCAAAGACGUCUCGUGGAUCUACAGUUACUUACACGCAUCUCAGGUCCGGGGACGGUACCGAGACGUUGAACGGUGUUGUGUCAACCUCCCAAGGUAACAAGUACGGGAAAACAGUGGUCAAAACGAUUCCUUUGUUUGAGGACGCGGUUAGUCAAAUAUUCAGUCCUCAACUCGUCCCGUGUUAGACACCGUCCUGGCGUAAGAGGGUGAGGAAACAGAGUUUCGUUUUCUUCGAGCGACGGAAACGGACCUCUCUCGUCUUCAAAGAAAAUAGAUUAGGUUCUACUAGAUAAGUACUAAUUUUGUCGCUCCUUUAGUCUUCAGCUCACGUUCCCGACGUACAGGAAUAUUUCGAAAAAUUACCCAACUCCAUUCACGCCCUACCUACUUUGACGAGUCAUGGCAGAUUAGACCGUUAGACCUAAUACUAGCCAAGUUGAUAAAACACCAAGGUCAAGAUGAUUAACUUCGGCCACUCAACCACAUACGAACUGCACUUAGACCAAGAGCGAAGUUAAGGGGGACAAAGUGGAGGUCUAGAUGAGUAGCCCUCUACCUAAGGAACGUCACUCUCCGACCAGACUGCGACAACAACUAUUAGUAGGUAUGGAUAAGACCUGUACCUGCUUCAUGUGUGUACAUGUGUGUCGAAAAAAACUAGGCAACGUAUAGUUUCGAAGUAAGUCUGCUACCUGACAGAACGAGAUGAAGCUUUAGUUUUGUCCCCUUUUUGUCCGCCGACUACGUCUUGUUCCCUUCCUCAUCGUCGAUAGACGACAAAGUCAACAAAUACACGCGACUUCUAACAAGUAUGGGCAUGGGACUUCUUUCUUCUGUGUUCUAUCUAAGAUCUAUAUGGACCUUAUACAAGUAGGCCCAAGUCAAUUAUUCACGUAAUCAGUUGUAACACCACGUUACUGUCUUAGACAACAGGUGUUGAAGUGGACGGUAUAGGAAUUCCCAGAACUAAAGGAUGUCUCGGUUUUUUAAUACGUAUCUAGACCUUUAUUCAAAUUUCCUUUCUAAAUCUUCCACUUCCUCGACUAUUUCUCGUACGAUUUAAGAGUGACAGAAUUAGUAAAAAGCACAUGUUAUGGUAAGUACAUAUCCAAACCUCGAAACACGGCUGUUCUUAAGAGACUAACCGUAGUAAACGUCAUUGACACCACUAGGUCCUGCGAAAGUUCUAAUGUUCAAGUCAUCACCGUUGAACUUGAAUACAUUCUUAUUUGUCUUACUAAAAAGUAAGACUUCUCAAAGGAUUGACAACUGAAAUUCGGAAGUAUCAAUGUAGCACCCUAAUACUUAUUCUACCACGAUUAAUAUGAAACUCACUUAAAGACCACACAUAAUAAGUCUGACCGGGAACUUGAUUUAUUUCUUUUCAGUUUCUAUCGCACGUCAACGUCCUCA